AUAUUUGCCAUGAACACCACUCAAAGGUACCGCUUAUAGUCAUAUCUGUAAGUAAAACAUACCUAAACAUAAUUUUUGUUGAUUAUUUAAUUUCCAUACAUACCCUUAACAAUCAGUAAACCCUAAAACACAUUUAUCAUUAUACAUUUCACGUGAUUUUGCUGUUGUUAUAUGCUUGAAAAUUCUCUUCAAGUAACUGUCCUGGUGCUGUGUACAUCAUUUUUGGGGGUUUAUGUUGCACUGUG
Molecule: unclassified non-coding RNA, 245 nt
Filed under: Hevea brasiliensis (rubber tree)
Lineage: Eukaryota; Viridiplantae; Streptophyta; Magnoliopsida; Malpighiales; Euphorbiaceae
Source: RNAcentral